CUGGGGAACCUCAUGGCCUUCACUGGCUGUGGGGGGAACCAGGACUUUUACUGUGAAAAAAUUAGAGUGUUCAAAGCAGGCCUUUGCUCGAAUACAUUAGCAUGGAAUAAUAGAAUAGGACGUGCGGUUCUAUUUUGUUGGUUUCUAGGACCGCCGUAAUGAUUAAUAGGGAUAGUCGGGGGCGUCAGUAUUCAGCUGUCAGAGGUGAAAUUCUUGGAUUUGCUGAAGACUAACUACUGCGAAAGCAUUCGCCAAGGAUGUUUUCAUUAAUCAGGGAACGAAAGUUAGGGGAUCGAAGACGAUCAGAUACCGUCGUAGUCUUAACCAUAAACUAUGCCGACUAGGGAUCGGGCGGUGUUUCUAUGAUGACCCGCUCGGCACCUUACG
RNAcentral lists this ribosomal RNA (387 nucleotides) under uncultured fungus. RNAcentral's name for it is "SSU rRNA". It matches the Rfam family "Eukaryotic small subunit ribosomal RNA", at positions 705 to 1092 of the family's 1831-position model. Lineage: Eukaryota; Fungi. The record is from RNAcentral.